CAACCCCUCAAGCCCUGCUUGGUGUUAGGGCCCUACGUGCGCCGUAGGCCCCGAAUUCCAGUGGCGGGCUCGCCGCGGUCCCGAGCGUAGUAGCAUACCUCGCUCCAGGGCCCCCGCGGCGGGUGCCAGCCGUCAAAACACGGAGCGUGGGUUUCCGAACCCCCGCCCGACUCGUAA
This 177-nucleotide unclassified non-coding RNA is filed under the name uncultured Sordariomycetes. RNAcentral's name for it is "sequence contains ITS2". The record is from RNAcentral. Lineage: Eukaryota; Fungi; Ascomycota; Sordariomycetes.